UCUCACAGCCAACCUGUUGCAUGAUGAAGGGGUUCAAGCUAUAGCUGGUGCAAUCAAGUCUAAUCAAGGUCUCACCUCUCUGCAUCUCCAGUGGAACUUCAUCAAGUCCUCCGCCACUAAAGCUCUGGCUCAUGCUCUCCUCUCCAACGCCACAAUGCAGCUCUUGGAUCUUCAGGAGAAUGCUAUUGGGAAUGAAGGCGUCAUUUUCCUUGCCGAAGCUCUGAAGACCAACACGUCCCUGCAUACAUUAUGGUUAUGUACAAUGACUAAUCAGUAUUUUAGUAUUAACCCUUUGAAACCUGAGCAAAAUUUACUUUCUAAAAUUUCGAAAGAAGGCAAUGAGCAAGAGAAGAAGA
Molecule: non-coding RNA, 356 nt
Organism: Plectropomus leopardus (leopard coralgrouper)
Lineage: Eukaryota; Metazoa; Chordata; Actinopteri; Perciformes; Serranidae
Source: RefSeq, a predicted model, not a curated record